RNAcentral lists this long non-coding RNA (303 nucleotides) under Mytilus galloprovincialis (Mediterranean mussel). Lineage: Eukaryota; Metazoa; Mollusca; Bivalvia; Mytilida; Mytilidae. The record is from RNAcentral.
CGAAUCUAACUGUCAUGACUGUGUAUGUAGAUUCUUAACUUUUGGUCCCGUUUUCAAAUUGGUCUACAUUAAGGUCCAAAGGGUCCAAAAUAAACUUAGUUUGAUUUUGACAAAAGAUGAAUCAGUUAGGUUCUUUGAUAUGCUGAAUCUAAAAAUGUACUAAGAUUCUUGAUUAUUGGCCCAGUUUUCAAGUUGGUCCAAAUCGGGGUCCAAAAUUAAACUUUGUUUGAUUUCAUCAAAAAUUGAAUAAAUGGGGUUCUUUGAUAUACCAAAUCUAACUGUGUAUGUAGAUUCUUCAUUUUU